CAGCCGCCGCGGUAAUACGAAGGGUGCAAGCGUUACUCGGAAUUACUGGGCGUAAAGCGUGCGUAGGUGGUGGUUUAAGUCCGUUGUGAAAGCCCUGGGCUCAACCUGGGGAUUGCAGUGGAUACUGGGUCACUAGAGUGUGGUAGAGGAUAGUGGAAUUUCCGGUGUAGCAGUGAAAUGCGUAGAGAUCGGAAGGAACAUCUGUGGCGAAGGCGACUAUCUGGGCCAACACUGACACUGAGGCACGAAAGCGUGGGGAGCAAACAGGAUUAGAUACCCCGGUAGUCCCUGUCUCUUAUAC
RNAcentral lists this ribosomal RNA (301 nucleotides) under uncultured bacterium. RNAcentral describes it as "partial 16S ribosomal RNA". It matches the Rfam family "Bacterial small subunit ribosomal RNA", at positions 509 to 807 of the family's 1533-position model. The record is from RNAcentral.